ACCUCAAUGGACCUGCAAAGUUACCAAAGUGUUGCGUAGAAGAAGUGUUUGGGAAAACACGCCACAGCGGGUGAUAGCCCCGUAUUUUAAACGCAAUGCUCUUUGAGCCAGUUCCUGAGUACCACGGAGUACGUGAAGUUCCGUGGGAAUCCGCGAAGACCAUUUCGCAAGGCUAAAUACUCGGUAGUGACCGAUAGUGAACAAGUACUGUGAAGGAAAGGUGAAAAGCACCGCGGGAGCGGAGUGAAAUAGAACCUGAAAUCGUACGCUUACAAGGUAUGGAAGGGCGUAAGCCUGACCGUGUGCCUUUUGUAGCAUGAGCCUGCGAGUUACUGUAUGCAGCAAGGUUAAGGGAUUUAAGUUCCGGAGCCGAAGCGAAAGCGAGUCUGAAUAGGGCGAUUUUAGUUGCAUGCUUUAGACCCGAAGUUGAGUGAUCUAGCCUUGGUCAGGAUGAAGUGGCAGUAACAUGCCAUGGAGGUCCGAACUCGUGAAUGUUGAAAAAUUCUGAGAUGAACUGAGGCUGGGGGUGAAAGGC
Molecule: ribosomal RNA, 535 nt
Filed under: Climacostomum virens
Lineage: Eukaryota; Ciliophora; Heterotrichea; Heterotrichida; Climacostomidae
Description: partial Bacterial large subunit ribosomal RNA
Rfam family: Bacterial large subunit ribosomal RNA
Source: RNAcentral